GAUGAAGAACGCAGCGAAAUGCGAUAAGUAAUGUGAAUUGCAGAAUUCAGUGAAUCAUCGAAUCUUUGAACGCACAAUGCGCCCGCCAGUAUUCUGGCGGGCAUGCCUGUUCGAGCGUCAUUUCAACCCUCAAGCCCAGCUUGGUGUUGGGGAUCGGCACAGGCGCCCUCGGGCGCCCGCCGUCCCCUAAAUCUAGUGGCGGUCCCGCUGCAGCCUCCUCUGCGUAGUAGUUUUCUCCUCGCAAGGGCAGCUCGGUGGCGACCUCGCCGUAAAACCCCCAACUUCUGAAAGGUUGACCUCGAAUCAGGUAGGAAUACCCGCUGAACUUAAGCAUAUCAAUAAGCGGAGGA
This 350-nucleotide unclassified non-coding RNA is filed under the name soil metagenome. RNAcentral describes it as "partial contains 5.8S ribosomal RNA, internal transcribed spacer 2, and large subunit ribosomal RNA". The stretch from base 1 to 120 matches the Rfam family "5.8S ribosomal RNA", at positions 35 to 154 of the family's 154-position model. The record is from RNAcentral.